UACGGAGGGUGCGAGCGUUGUCCGGAAUCACUGGGCGUAAAGAGCGCGCAGGCGGUCGUUCAAGUCGAGUGUGAAAGCCCCCGGCUCAACUGGGGAGGGUCACUCGAUACUGAUCGACUUGAAGGCAGGAGAGGGAAGCGGAAUUCCCGGUGUAGUGGUGAAAUGCGUAGAUAUCGGGAGGAACACCAGUGGCGAAGGCGGCUUCCUGGCCUGUUCUUGACGCUGAGGCGCGAAAGCGUGGGGGAGCAAACAGGG
This 255-nucleotide ribosomal RNA is filed under the name uncultured bacterium. RNAcentral describes it as "partial 16S ribosomal RNA". It matches the Rfam family "Bacterial small subunit ribosomal RNA", at positions 524 to 777 of the family's 1533-position model. The record is from RNAcentral.